CCUACGGGUGGCUGCAGUGAGGAAUAUUGGUCAAUGGGCGCGAGCCUGAACCAGCCAAGUCGCGUGAGGGAAGACGGUCCUAUGGAUUGUAAACCUCUUUUGUCGGGGAGCAAAAGACGCCACGCGUGGCGUUCCGAGAGUACCCGAAGAAAAAGCAUCGGCUACCUCCGUGCCAGCAGCCGCGGUAAUACGGAGGAUUCGCGCGUGAUCCGGAUUUAUUGGGCGGAAAGGGUGCGUAGGUGGUUUCUUAAGUCAGAGGUGAAAGGCUACGGCUAAACCGUAGGAAGCCGUUGAAACUGGGAAACUUGAGUGCAGGAGAGGAAGGUGGAAGUCGUAGGGUAGCGGUGAAAUGCGUAGAUAUUAGGAGGAACACCAGUUGCGAAGGCGGCUCGCUGGACUGUAACUGACACUGAGGCACGAAAGCGUGGGGAGCAAACAGGAUUAGAUACCCCAGUAGUC
Molecule: ribosomal RNA, 459 nt
Filed under: uncultured bacterium
Lineage: Bacteria
Description: partial 16S ribosomal RNA
Rfam family: Bacterial small subunit ribosomal RNA
Source: RNAcentral